RNAcentral lists this transfer RNA (68 nucleotides) under Pirenella pupiformis. RNAcentral's name for it is "tRNA-Ala". The record is from RNAcentral. Lineage: Eukaryota; Metazoa; Mollusca; Gastropoda; Potamididae.
GGUUGAGUACUUUAAGGAAAAAGAAUUGAUUUGCAUUCAAAAAAUGGGCAAUUGCUGCCCCUUAGCCA